UACGGAGGGGGCGAGCGUUAAUCGGAAUUACUGGGCGUAAAGCGUGCGUAGGCGGAUGCUUAAGUCAGAUGUGAAAGCCCUGGGCUUAACCUAGGAAUUGCAUCUGAAACUGGGCGUCUAGAGUAUGGUAGAGGAUGGCGGAAUUUCUGGUGUAGCGGUGAAAUGCGUAGAUAUCAGAAGGAACACCAGUGGCGAAGGCGGCCGUCUGGGCCAAUACUGACGAUGAGGCACGAAAGCAUGGGUAGCGAACAGG
This 253-nucleotide ribosomal RNA is filed under the name uncultured bacterium. RNAcentral's name for it is "partial 16S ribosomal RNA". It matches the Rfam family "Bacterial small subunit ribosomal RNA", at positions 524 to 776 of the family's 1533-position model. The record is from RNAcentral.